CCUACGGGGUGCAGCAGUGGGGAAUAUUGCACAAUGGGCGCAAGCCUGAUGCAGCCAUGCCGCGUGUAUGAAGAAGGCCUUCGGGUUGUAAAGUACUUUCAGCGGGGAGGAAGGUGUUGUGGUUAAUAACCACAGCAAUUGACGUUACCCGCAGAAGAAGCACCGGCUAACUCCGUGCCAGCAGCCGCGGUAAUACGGAGGGUGCAAGCGUUAAUCGGAAUUACUGGGCGUAAAGCGCGCGCAGGCGGUCUGUCAAGUCGGAUGUGAAAUCCCCGGGCUCAACCUAGGAACUGCAAUCGAAACUGGCAGGCUAGAGUCUUGUAGAGGGGGGUAGAAUUCCAGGUGUAGCGGUGGAAUGCGUAGGGAUCUGGAGGAAUACCGGUGGCGAAGGCGGCCCCCUGGAUAAAGACUGACGCUCAGGUGCGAAAGCGUGGGGAGCAAACAGGAUUAGAUACCCCCGUAGUC
This 465-nucleotide ribosomal RNA is filed under the name uncultured bacterium. RNAcentral's name for it is "bacterial SSU rRNA". It matches the Rfam family "Bacterial small subunit ribosomal RNA", at positions 338 to 795 of the family's 1533-position model. The record is from RNAcentral.